CGAUGGCUCGUGACGACCGCGGGGCCCAACGGCCUUCGCGCGUUUACACGGCCGUCGCGAUACGUCCGGCGGCGUCGGCGUGCACUUCUCCCCUAGUAGGACGUCGCGACCCGUUGGGUGCCGAUCUAAGGCCCGGGUGGGUGUCUGUCGCGUCGCUUCGGCGCACGGGGCAAACCCUCGGUCUUGCCAGUAUCGGCUGCCCGGCGGUACUCGCAAUCAUGGUAUCGGGCCGCAAAAUUCGAACUGCGUCGGGCCCGCCGCAAGCGCGGCCAGCGACAUUCGCGGAGGUACGGACCUGGUGCCGUCCCCGUGCCUGGCCAGCUGUUGGCAGGCGGUGCAUCCUGACAGGCCAAAAACUCACGAAAGUGUGAUACCGGUCGGCGACGCUACUGCUUUGGGUAAUCUCAGGACCCGUCUUGAAACACGGACCAAGGAGUCUAACAUGUGCGCGAGUCAUUGGGACAAGCAUGCCUAAAGGCGAAAUGAAAGUGAAGGUCGGCCUAGCGCCAACCGAGGGAGGAUGGGCCGCGUCACGAUGCGGCUUCGCACUCCCGGGGCGUCUCGUUCUCAUUGCGAGAAGAGGCGCACCCAGAGCGUACACGUUGGGACCCAAAAAGGG
RNAcentral lists this ribosomal RNA (619 nucleotides) under Pristocera formosana. RNAcentral describes it as "eukaryotic LSU rRNA". The stretch from base 428 to 619 matches the Rfam family "Eukaryotic large subunit ribosomal RNA", at positions 665 to 825 of the family's 3401-position model. Lineage: Eukaryota; Metazoa; Arthropoda; Insecta; Hymenoptera; Bethylidae. The record is from RNAcentral.